UCCCUAGUGGUCUAGUGGUUAGGAUUCAGUGCUUUCACUGUCAUGGCUUAGGUUCAACCCCUGGUUGGGGAA
RNAcentral lists this transfer RNA (72 nucleotides) under Capra hircus (goat). It matches the Rfam family "tRNA". Rfam says of the family: Transfer RNA (tRNA) molecules are approximately 80 nucleotides in length. Their secondary structure includes four short double-helical elements and three loops (D, anti-codon, and T loops). Lineage: Eukaryota; Metazoa; Chordata; Mammalia; Artiodactyla; Bovidae. The record is from Rfam by way of RNAcentral. RNAcentral also lists the same sequence under 1 other name.